This is a long non-coding RNA of Tympanuchus pallidicinctus (lesser prairie-chicken), 3405 nucleotides long. RefSeq lists it as uncharacterized. The record is from RefSeq and is a predicted model, not a curated record. Lineage: Eukaryota; Metazoa; Chordata; Aves; Galliformes; Phasianidae. The transcript has 3 exons.
UUACUAAAGAGAAGAAAAAUAGCAAAUAUCGAGAAUAUUAAUGGGCAGGACAUCAUAAACUUCUUUGAAUUAAUACAGAAACACUGGAGAAAUUGUUUGCAUUUGAAGUUGUUAUCCAUGUUAAGUGCAGUUUAAUGUCUUGGAGAAGACAUUCAGUCACAGGUCCAGAAGCUGAAGACAGCCAAAGUAAAGAGUGUUGUACUUUCUUCAUCCUUUCCUAGUGCCUACUCUGUAAUUGUCAAUUUGUCCAGCCACGUCUUCACCCAUAAUUUCUGUUUCCUUCUUUGAAGGAGGAUAAUAUGUCUCAGAUUUCAUUCAAGUGGCAACAAAUUCCCCUUCUCAUAGUAAAAUCUAAGAACUAACAAGACCAUAAGCCUUUAAUGAUCACAGGAAAAAGUUUGAGACAAAAUGCAGUCAUGGAGGAAAAGGGUUGAAAGUAGAGGAGGUGUGUAGACACCAUUACUGUUUUUCAAGAUAGGAAAAUGAGAUUGGCUGAUGGCAUUGAGAGGAGUAAAGUCCUUUGCUGUCGGCAGUGGGAAGCUGACACGUCAGUGGAAGCUGUGCUGCAAGAAACCCCUUGGCCUUGUCACCAAUUCAGAACUGUCACUUGUCUGAACUUUGGCAUUUGGUACUUGGGUGAUCAGUUUCUUAUUCAAGUAUCUAAUACAACAUUAUUUUCUAAUUAUGUUUUGUAAUGCUUUAUAGUUUGGCUCUAAGAUAUUAAGCAAACAGUAGGAGAAGCUAUUGCUUAAAGAGGGUUUCUCAAGAAUAGAAUCAUAAGAGUAGAAUAGUCUGGGACAGAAGGGACCUAUGGCAUUCCAAGUACGUUUCAUUGUGCUCACACUGUGGUGGAGCAAAUUGGAAGCCCUCACCAACAAACACACUUUCUCUCAGGCAUUGUUAUGCCAUCCUAUAGUUUAUCAUUAAUAAACCUGAUCGUUAAGCCUGAUCUUAUCACUUUUCCCUUUCAAACCUAACUUUAAGCUCUUGCAGUCAGCCCCACUAAACUGUGAGUGAAAUUUCUUUUCCCCUUUUGAAAAAGGUGAAUCCAGCCAGGCCAUGUGGGCCUGGUGUCACAUAAGUUAUCCCAUGGUCAAAAAAAAUCCCAAAUUCUGCUGGUGCCACCAGCCUCAAAGCCAGGUAUCAGUAAGCUGGGUCCAUCUGUUUCUUUAAAUGCUACUCCUUACAGAAGGAGGGAUAGAAGAGUGCUCCUCAUCCCUUUACUGAUCUAUCCAAAGCCCCGAAGUCUAUUGGUUACUCUUGGGCUUUGUUACUACCCACAUGAAAAAAAGCAAGAGCAGAUAGUAUCCUGAGGGCUGUACCAGCCUAGGACAUUUCCUGUUAAUAUUUUCGACCCAAGCCUUAAGGACCAGACCUGUGGGUCUGGUCAUCAGAUCCAGCCCUCUGCUCCCCUCAGAAGGGAAUCACCUAUGACUGUAAGUAACACACACCUUUUUUGUUUCAUGAAAGCAAUCAUAAUGUAAAGUCUGUAAAUUCUAAUCUAAGUAAUUCUAAUCUAAGUGUAAGUGAUUCUAAUCUCUGUAAUUCUAAUCUAAGUGAUCAUAAUGUAAAGUCUGACCUGACUGCUCUAGCAUAGAUAGAUUGUCAUCUGCCUUACUGGGUUCUACCAAUUCCAAAGCCUUCUCCCUGUUGUAUAAGGGUACCUGUGGUAACCUAAUCUCCCUCCACUGCAUUGUCAGAUGAUGUUACACAGUUGUCUCAAGAGUAUUGCAUUGAAACAUAUUGGACCACUGAGAUUAGUGUAUACAUUAACAAAAUGCCUCUCACACUUUAACAUUGUGACAAAAAAAAAGUGUGAGAUUUCUGUAAUGUUAAUUUCUUUCAAGCCCAGGAAUUUGUUUUCCAACAACUUGAAGUGGUGAGCAGGGAUGCUCCCAAUCAUGGCAUUAAUGCUGAUUUGUGACUGCAGUGUGUUACUGAGUUGCUACCUAUGAGAUACUGUUCAAAGUUAGAUGAAAUUAGAAAGAUCAAGUGACUGGGGUGUAGAGACUAUUACUUCCCUGGAAAUAAUCUAAUUAGCACAGCUCACAGAUGGCACAUGUCUGGCUGCUGAUCUGUUAGCUGCUCGUUACUUGAUUCUAGAGGAGGAGUUCAUUUGUUGGCAUUUGCUACCGUUAAUCUGUCUUUAGAGAUUUUCUGUAGUUAGCAAAUACUUGUUAAGAGCUAAAGUUAAUUUAUAAGCAUUUCUUAAACCUUUAAUUUCACAUGGUGCAAUGCAAAAAUAACUUUCCCUUUUCACUUUUUCUUUGCUAAUCUCUAAGAUCACUUUUUAGUUCUAAGUUUAAAGUUGACUUUGUAUUAUGAGGAUUUUUUCUCACCUUCACACAUAGUUGUCAUUUGUUUAAGUGGCACUGUUCCAAAGGUGCUUUCACAGAACAUUUUAAAGGAGAUUUUUCUCUGCACAGAUUUGAAUUAACUAACUUGGGGGGGGGGAGCUGCCGCACAACUUCCUGAAAAAUUCCUCCAGAGGAAGUAGAAGUCUUGAAAACAAUUUUUAGUCUCAAAUACAGAAAGCUACCAAGUGCAUACAAAAGUUCUAAGCUGAUAAUUAGUAGAGUAAAUAUAAGCACACAUUCACAGAGUUGAAGAUCUUGCACAGGUAUAAAAGUGAUCCAUUAACUACAGGAACUACCUCUAAUAUUUAAUAUACAAUAAAGUGCUUUCAUAUUUUUAACAAUGGAAUGUUUUUUACUGCUCAUGUCAUCACACUGUAUGUAUCCUAAAACAUUGGCUGACAUUGCUCACUUUUUCUCCAGGAGGCUUUAUGCUAAAUUUGAGUAUUGUGUUAGUUUGCUGGCAUUUUCCUGCAAAUAAUAAGCUUUUCAUAGUUCGUCUUCAGAGUUUGAGCUAAUCAUGAGUUUAAAAAAUUAAGAUGAGUACAGGAAUCACCCUUUGAUAUGUUGUUGUCUUGUGAAUUGAGGAUGAUUGAAAUAUGGAUCUGGGCAUACAUAAAUACUAAGACAGAGAGUAGGAAAAAAUUCUCUUCUGGGUACUUCUCUGCAGAUGUACCAGCUGCACCAAUGUGUGGCUAAUUCAGAAUGACUUCAGGAAGCAAAAUGAACUUUUCCAUAGAUACUUUCUGACAAGUGGCUCAUCUUUUCAGAUUAUUGGCAAAGAACCACAUUAAGCCAUGCUGUCACUGAUCCGUUCUUCAUCGGCCUAAUUCCUUUGCUCAGCAGGAAAACCUCCAAAUUCUCCUGGAAAUACCCUGCUGAGGUCACCUCUGAUACUAACGAAUACAAACAACAGGUUCUGAAAGCAGACUACUGUGAGACUCACAGUAACCACUGAAACCGCUGUGUGCCAGACUUCUCUCAAUUGCCAGGUUACAAAUCUAGUUCUGUGUUCAACAAGAAGGAAGAUUUCUGUUUCAUUGCACGUAGU